AUUUUGAUAAUCAUGUUAAAAAUAUAGGUAAUUAUAGUAGGAAUGUUUUAAAUCAAUUGACUGGUAAGAAAAAUAAAAUAAUUCCAUCUUUUUUGGAAACAGGUGAUAAAUUUAUAACUAAGCCAAUAGAUAUUGCAAAUUAUCUUAAUGAUUAUUGUAUAAGAAAAUUAGAUAAACUAAGUGAAAAUAUGCCUAAUCUAUGUAAUGAUAUAUCUCACCUAUUAAUAAGAAAUGAACUGAUGAAAAAUAAAAACUUAAGGUUUAAAUUAGAAAGUGUAAAUAUAGAUCAAGUAAAGAAUCUUUUAAUAGCCUGUAAAAACAAACCACCGGGUGUCAACGGUCUUGACAGCAGGCUUCUUAAACUAGCUGCUGACUCUAUUGCCCCUGUUCUAACCCACAUCAUUAACCUCAGUACUUGGAACCCACCGGGAAGACACAGACCCCACUGGACCCGAUUGUCACAUAUUCCACCUUAAAUUGCUAUUACAAGUCAAUAAAUCGGUUUCGAAAAAUGCAUGCUUUUUGUCUUACCUAAUUUAAGGAGCCGUAGUUUUUCUUCCUUGUACCUGACUGUCUGUGAUGCAUUACAAUCCUCCGACAAGAAAGUUAUGAAUGUUAUUCUUCUCGUUAUUCCAAGUCCAAGCUUAAUCCACUCAUUAUUUCAGCUUCAAGAGUCCGCUUGAUGUCACGGUGACGAAUGACAAAUGCAACUGUGCACAUGUAUAUACAUUCUGACUCGAGUUAGCUCGCAUAAUAACUUCGACUGUUUACCCUUUUUUCUUUCUUUUUUUGGAUCACACUUUUCUUUUCCUAAUUUUACAAGUUGUAAGUUACAAGAAAACAGUGUCUGAUCACGUUCGGGUGUUCUCCGAGUCCGAUGACUCCGAUCGCACGGGUAUAACACACAAUGUUAAACAGACCCGGGACCCGAAGUAAUAGAUUUGGACCCGACCCGGACCCGGCCGAUCAUUUAAAAUAUAGACCCGAACCCGUGCGGGUCCCGGGUGCACUGUGAAGACCUCUAGCUCGAGUUACCCAGCACGUAGGUAUUAGUGUAGUGCUGUGUACCACAGUUUGCAGAAUACACCCUAAGCACCUCUGACAUCACUAGUUCAGUGAAAAAAGUAGUUCAGUUCAGUGUAGUUCAGAGAAAGUGAAACGACCUUGAUCAACAACAAUACUGGACGCCAGAAACCAUCGAACUCUUUAAACAACAGAAUAUUGAGUCGUUCAGAGACCCUUGUGAACACAUCUGAUACUCACAGCAGGUCAUAGUUCAGAUUGCUCAGCUUUAAGAGG
This is a long non-coding RNA of Carassius auratus (goldfish), 1299 nucleotides long. RefSeq lists it as uncharacterized. NCBI's taxonomy places the organism in Eukaryota, Metazoa, Chordata, Actinopteri, Cypriniformes, Cyprinidae. The transcript is spliced from 3 exons. The record is from RefSeq and is a predicted model, not a curated record.